AUGGAUACCACAGUAGCAGAUCCAAUACCUCAUGGCAAUGAAACUGUUCAGAAUGAGUCAAAGUUGCAAGAAGAGGUUUAUGAGGAACCUACUCUGAUUGACGCUAAGUUGAGACAACAAGAUAUGGAGAAAUUCACUUGUGUUAGUCAGCUAUCUGACUGGUGGAAUUUAGUCAUGUCACCAAUUGCCCACACUUGUGUUACAAUUGUAUCUAGACUAUUUGUGAAGAAGAAAUCAUUAGCUCCACCAGUGGUUACCUCUAUCACAGUUAAAGAGAGUAUCUCAGAGAAGAAUAGUGAAGAUGAGAUUCCAACUCGUGCACAUACAAUUAAGCAAGUCAGAGACAUUCCAAGGAGAGAGAUACAAGAGGUUGAGUCAAAUUUAGAAGAGCUGAUACUUCAAUAUCCUGAGAAGAUCCCAUCUGUUGCUGAGCUGCAUGACUGGUGA
Molecule: ribosomal RNA, 447 nt
Filed under: Triticum aestivum (bread wheat)
Lineage: Eukaryota; Viridiplantae; Streptophyta; Magnoliopsida; Poales; Poaceae
Description: partial small subunit ribosomal RNA
Source: RNAcentral